UACGGAGGGUGCAAGCGUUGUUCGGAAUUAUUGGGCGUAAAGCGCGUGUAGGCGGGCUGUUAAGUCCGAUGUGAAAGCCCCCGGCUCAACCGGGGAAUUGCAUUGGAUACUGGCAACCUUGAGUCCUGGAGAGGGUGGCGGAAUUCCCAGUGUAGAGGUGAAAUUCGUAGAUAUUGGGAGGAACACCGGUGGCGAAGGCGGCCACCUGGACAGUGACUGACGCUGAGACGCGAAAGCGUGGGUAGCAAACAGG
This 253-nucleotide unclassified non-coding RNA is filed under the name uncultured delta proteobacterium. RNAcentral's name for it is "contains 16S-23S intergenic spacer region". It matches the Rfam family "Bacterial small subunit ribosomal RNA", at positions 524 to 776 of the family's 1533-position model. Lineage: Bacteria; Deltaproteobacteria. The record is from RNAcentral.